Molecule: ribosomal RNA, 495 nt
Filed under: Citrobacter freundii
Lineage: Bacteria; Pseudomonadati; Pseudomonadota; Gammaproteobacteria; Enterobacterales; Enterobacteriaceae
Description: partial 23S ribosomal RNA
Rfam family: Bacterial large subunit ribosomal RNA
Source: RNAcentral
GAUUAAGUUAUUAAGGGCGCACGGUGGAUGCCUUGGCACUAGAAGCCGAUGAAGGACGUUACUAACGACGAUAUGCUUUGGGGAGCUGUAAGUAAGCUUUGAUCCAGAGAUUUCCGAAUGGGGAAACCCAGCAUGAGUUAUGUCAUGUUAUCGAUAUGUGAAUACAUAGCAUAUCAGAAGGCACACCCGGAGAACUGAAACAUCUUAGUACCCGGAGGAAGAGAAAGAAAAUUCGAUUCCCUUAGUAGCGGCGAGCGAAAUGGGAAGAGCCCAAACCAACAAGCUUGCUUGUUGGGGUUGUAGGACACUCUAUACGGAGUUACAAAGGACGACAUUAGACGAAUCAUCUGGAAAGAUGAAUCAAAGAAGGUAAUAAUCCUGUAGUCGAAAAUGUUGUCUCUCUUGAGUGGAUCCUGAGUACGACGGAGCACGUGAAAUUCCGUCGGAAUCUGGGAGGACCAUCUCCUAAGGCUAAAUACUCUCUAGUGACCGAUA